This 663-nucleotide long non-coding RNA is filed under the name Citrus x clementina. RNAcentral's name for it is "Citrus clementina (C. clementina) long non-coding RNA (CCLE_LNC006535)". The record is from RNAcentral. Lineage: Eukaryota; Viridiplantae; Streptophyta; Magnoliopsida; Sapindales; Rutaceae.
UAUCAUAAAUAUAUAAUUGUAUUGAGAUGGUCAUCAUGAAUACGACACGAUUAUUUAUCGUGUCCUGUCAUGUCAAAUUAUCGUAUCUUAUUGGGUCAACUUAUUUUAUUAAUUAUAUUAAUAUCUAUUAACACGAAUUUGAAAGAGUCGUAUCGUACACACUUCGUAUAAUCUUAUUGUAACCCAUUUUACCACGUCUAAAUUGUGAUACAUUGCUACCUAUUUUUCAUUUGCUUAUCUGUAUCUAUGGCUGUAUCUCUUACAAACUAAGGCCCCACUUGAGCAGAAUGUGGACACAAGAAAAUCUUUGUAACAAUGAACAUAUCAAAUAUGAAGAUUUGAAAUUUGUAUAACAAUGUCAUUGGCAUUGUAGUCUCAUGAUGGACAGUUUUUUCAACAAUGUUGAAAGCAGUAAUUCGAGUCAAGCAUGAAAAUAAUUAAUAACAAAUGGGUUAAAAACUCUCUUGAUUCCAAUGAAUUUAUUAAAUUUUAAUCCUUAUAACCAUAAUUACCGCGCUCAUAAGUCAAACCUUUACCCUCUAACCUCUUAAACAAUUUAAGAAUUACAUGGUCAAAAACUAGGGAUGGCAAAAAUCCCCACGGGGACGGGUACCCUCGGGGAUUUUCCCCAUUUGGGGAGAGUACGGGGAUAAUUUUAUACCC